Molecule: long non-coding RNA, 215 nt
Filed under: Lathyrus oleraceus (garden pea)
Lineage: Eukaryota; Viridiplantae; Streptophyta; Magnoliopsida; Fabales; Fabaceae
Description: Pisum sativum (pea) long non-coding RNA (PSAT_LNC036903)
Source: RNAcentral
CCAAAUUCUAAGUUCUUCAUGGGUUCCCAAAUUAAAUUUGCAUUUAUGUUUUUUUUUAAAUUAAAAGUCCCAUAUUUAGAUUUUUGUAUUUAAAAUAGAAUUGUGUUUUUUUAAAAUUAAAAGUCCCAUGUUUAGAUUUUUUUUGUAUUUAAAAUAGAAUUGUGUUUUUUUUUUUUAAAUUAAAAGUCCCAUGUUUAGAUUUUUUUGUAUUUAAA